RNAcentral lists this ribosomal RNA (877 nucleotides) under uncultured marine bacterium. Its description in RNAcentral is "bacterial SSU rRNA". It matches the Rfam family "Bacterial small subunit ribosomal RNA", at positions 22 to 905 of the family's 1533-position model. The record is from RNAcentral.
GCUCAGAAUGACGUGCGGCGUGGAUUAGGCAUGCAAGUCGCACGAGAAACCAAUUAGCUUGCUAUGAGGUGGACAGUGGCGAAAGGGAGAGUAACGCGUGGUUACAUGCCCUCGAGACCGGGAUAGUGUCGGGAAACUGGCAGUAAUACCGGAUAACAUCUUCGGAUCAAAUGGUGUGAUUCCGCUCGAGGAUUGGACCGCGUACUAUUAGCUUGUUGGUGAGGUAAUGGCUCACCAAGGCUGCGAUGGUUACCGGGUGUGAGAGCAUGGCCCGGCUCACUGGGACUGAGACACUGCCCAGACAUCUACGGAUGGCUGCAGUCGAGAAUCUUCGGCAAUGGACGAAAGUCUGACCGAGCGACGCCGCGUGCGGGAUGAAGGCCCUCGGGUUGUAAACCGCUGUCAGUUGUUAGGAAAUCCAUGAGGGUUCUCUCUCAUGGUUGACCGAUCUUCAGAGGAAGGACGGGCUAAGUUCGUGCCAGCAGCCGCGGUAAGACGAACCGUCCGAACGUUAUUCGGUAUCACUGGGCUUAAAGCGUGCGUAGGCGGCUUGGUAGGUGAGAUGUGAAAGCCCACGGCUCAACCGUGGAAUUGCGUUUCAAACCCCCAAGCUCGAGGAAGAUAGGGGUGAUGGGAACUUAUGGUGGAGCGGUGAAAUGCGUUGAUAUCAUAGGGAACACCGGUGGCGAAAGCGCAUCACUGGAUCUUUUCUGACGCUGAGGCACGAAAGCUAGGGUAGCGAACGGGAUUAGAUACCCCGGUAGUCCUAGCCGUAAACGAUGAGCACUGGGUUGAGGGAACUUCCACAUUCUCUCGGCCGUAGCGAAAGCGUUAAGUGCUCCGCCUGGGGAGUAUGGUCGCAAGGCUGAAACUCAAA